RNAcentral lists this ribosomal RNA (468 nucleotides) under uncultured bacterium. RNAcentral describes it as "partial 16S ribosomal RNA". It matches the Rfam family "Bacterial small subunit ribosomal RNA", at positions 28 to 507 of the family's 1533-position model. The record is from RNAcentral.
GACGAACGCUGGCGGCGUGCUUAACACAUGCAAGUCGAACGGAAAGGCCCUGCUUUUGUGGGGUGCUCGAGUGGCGAACGGGUGAGUAACACGUGAGUAACCUGCCCUUGACUUUGGGAUAACUUCAGGAAACUGGGGCUAAUACCGGAUAGGAGCUCCUGCUGCAUGGUGGGGGUUGGAAAGUUUCGGCGGUUGGGGAUGGACUCGCGGCUUAUCAGCUUGUUGGGGGGGUAGUGGCUUACCAAGGCAUUGACGGGUAGCCGGCCUGAGAGGGUGACCGGCCACAUUGGGACUGAGAUACGGCCCAGACUCCUACGGGAGGCAGCAGUGGGGAAUAUUGCACAGUGGGCGGAAGCCUGAUGCAGCAACGCCGCGUGCGGGAUGACGGCCUUCGGGUUGUAAACCGCUUUCGCCUGUGACGAAGCGUGAGUGACGGUAAUGGGUAAAGAAGCACCGGCUAACUACGUG